This 241-nucleotide ribosomal RNA is filed under the name uncultured bacterium. RNAcentral's name for it is "partial 16S ribosomal RNA". It matches the Rfam family "Bacterial small subunit ribosomal RNA", at positions 524 to 764 of the family's 1533-position model. The record is from RNAcentral.
UACGAAGGGGGCUAGCGUUGCUCGGAAUCACUGGGCGUAAAGCGCACGUAGGCGGCUUUCUAAGUCGGGGGUGAAAUCCUGGAGCUCAACUCCAGAACUGCCUUCGAUACUGGAGAGCUCGAGUCCGGGAGAGGUGAGUGGAACUGCGAGUGUAGAGGUGAAAUUCGUAGAUAUUCGCAAGAACACCAGUGGCGAAGGCGGCUCACUGGCCCGGUACUGACGCUGAGGUGCGAAAGCGUGG